Molecule: long non-coding RNA, 1519 nt
Organism: Cyprinus carpio carpio
Lineage: Eukaryota; Metazoa; Chordata; Actinopteri; Cypriniformes; Cyprinidae
Source: Ensembl
AGAUGGAUAGAUAAAUAGAUGUGAUAUUACAUUGUGAUGCAUUAAUUGUACAGCAAGAGUUUCUGUAUGACAUCACUUUCAUACAGUGGGUCAGAAAAAGGACUUGAGUCACAUGCUCAAAACAAAUGAACAGGAACAGGAAGACUUCAUUUUUGAGAGUGGACGCCAUGUUGUCUCAUUCUGUUUAAGACUUUUACUAAAACAGAUCUUGCAGGUGCUCAACAGGAAAUCUGGUGUCUUAUUUUCAGUCGAGCUGAAAGCCAUGAAACUCAUUCUGCGGUGGAUUUUUUGCUUCAGUUUAGGUUUUGUCACUGAUUGCCAAGUGAAUCGUUAUGGAUUGAAAGGAAGCUCAAUCCGUCUGAGCAUCAGUCCCAGAAAUCAGUCACUAACUAAUGUUGGAUGGCAACGAUUCAACAGGAAAGAGGUGCUUACAGACGCAAAAGAAGUUUCCCCUCAUUUUAAGAAAAGAAUGAUCCUAAACGUCUCAGACUGGUCUUUGACCAUACACAACCUUGAGGAAAAUGACAGUGGACUGUAUGAAGCCAUUAAGAAGUGGGAGGUUGAACCUCUGGCUGCAUUCACACUUACAGUGGAGAGCACUGUCUCUAAGCCUGUAAUCAGAGUGGAUCAACAUGACUUUAAUUCGUCUGCUGAAGUGUGUCGGGCCGCAGUGAACUGUUCAGCUGAUGGCAGCUGGGCCACGUUUGACUGCCACCAAAAUGUCUGUACAAAGAUACGAUCCUCUCCAUUCUCCAUUAACAUCACUGUCACUGCACUGGACAGCAGUGGCAUCAAAUGCAACGUCAACAACAACGUGAGCAUGAAUCAUUCUCAGACUCCCUUUACGUGCCAUGAAAAGCAGAAAAGUGAUUAUCGUUUUCUCCCAUCGCUCAUCUUCUGGAUCGUUGGCACCGUUUGUGGUGGUGUUUUGUUGGGUUUGGUUAUGGGUGGGAUUGUAGCAUUUGUCAAGAGAAGAAAAUGUUCAAAAGUUCAUCCACAGUCCAGUCGUGUUGUGAUUGAACAGCAUCAUGAAACAAUUUACUGCACCGUGGAAAAGCCGGCCACAUCCCAGACACAUCCAGGAAACAACACUGUCAGCAACAAAGUAGAAACCAUCUACGACACUCCAUCACGACAUACCAAGGCUUGUCAAGUAGACAGUGUGGAGGUGAUGAGAGACAAUCAGGAGCAACAGCAAUCUGGACAAGACAGAACUAUUCAAGUAAAAGCUACAGUUCACCAGGCAGCAGAACCCGAUUCAGAUCCAAUAAACACUGUUUACUGUAAACUGGGAGAGAUAUGACACAAACACAUACUGAGACGUCACUUCAGUGGAGAUUUAAAUGUAAUUUAAUAUAAAUUCUGUGUUUUUUUUUUUUACUAGUGAAUAGAUGGGUUUAAGCAUCAUUGAUGGAGACAAUACACACUGUAUGCUGCCUACUAUUUUUUGAAACAGUAUAUGCAAUACAUUCUUAAAAAUAAAUGUUCAAAAAUUGUUUUUUGUAGUGAUGCAAUAGAA